This 659-nucleotide long non-coding RNA is filed under the name Cricetulus griseus (Chinese hamster). RNAcentral's name for it is "lncRNA (ENSCGRG00015038976.1)". The record is from RNAcentral. Lineage: Eukaryota; Metazoa; Chordata; Mammalia; Rodentia; Cricetidae.
CAGCCGAGUGCUUCCCAUCAUCACACAGAUGUCUCAAGGGGCUUUGCUUCACGUGGGGAAAUGCUAAACCCUGAAGGCUUUGGAUUAACCUGACCAGAAUUAACCUGAUCAAUUACACUGCCUCCCUCCCCUCUGACCGGUAAGGAACGACCUCCUAGUUUUCUAAUUUGUCUUUCUCUUCUUGCUCAUUUGGUCCUCCACAGCACAAGUGGUCCAGCUGCAUUCUCAUUACUUACAUGCAAGCCAGAGCUCGGGGGUUCAGCCGUCUAUUCUCAGGAAGAAAUGAGGCCGAUGCUCUCUCUAGCCAGUGCACAUAUUACUGACCUGUGGCAUUUCCAACCCUAGGAGUCCAAGAUCUGCCCUCCCCAUAAAUGCACCCAGGCAUCCUGACUACUGUGUCAUCACUCAGUACAAAACCACCUCAGGGAGUGAGAAACCGAUGUCCCCAGCUUCUCUAAUCCUUCCAGUUAUGCAAGGCCUCUGCUGAAGACCUGGCUCUCAAGUUGGCAUGGAAUUUCACAGAGCACAGGGGAGCAGAAAGAGAAGAAAUCUACAAAUAACUGGCAAAGAAUAAAACCUCUCUUCUGAAGAGAAACAAAGACUACGGAGGAGCAGUAUGAAUAAGAAGGCGAAAUGACCAAGGACUGAAUGGAAGACGA